RNAcentral lists this ribosomal RNA (347 nucleotides) under Rhodospirillaceae bacterium. RNAcentral's name for it is "bacterial SSU rRNA". It matches the Rfam family "Bacterial small subunit ribosomal RNA", at positions 1 to 362 of the family's 1533-position model. Lineage: Bacteria; Pseudomonadati; Pseudomonadota; Alphaproteobacteria; Rhodospirillales; Rhodospirillaceae. The record is from RNAcentral.
UUCAACUUGAGAGUUUGAUCCUGGCUCAGGACGAACGCUGGCGGCAGGCCUAACACAUGCAAGUCGAACGAGAAGCCAUCCUUCGGGAUGGUGGGCAGUGGCGAACGGGUGAGUAACGCGUGGGAACCUGCCCUUCGGUACGGGACAACCGCGGGAAACUGCGGCUAAUACCGUAUAUUCCCUACGGGGGAAAGAUUUAUCGCCGAAGGAUGGGCCCGCGUCCGAUUAGCUUGUUGGUGAGGUAAAAGCUCACCAAGGCAACGAUCGGUAGCUGGUUUGAGAGGAUGAUCAGCCACACUGGGACUGAGAUACGGCCCAGACUCCUACGGGAGGCAGCAGUGGGGAAU